AUCGCUUCUUGGCUAAGAUCAAGUGUAGUAUUUGUUCUUAUCAGUUUAAUUACUGAUACAUCCUUUAUCCAAGGACAAUAUAUUAAAUGGAUUUUUGGAAUUAGGAGUUGAAAUAGGAGCUGGCUCUGUCCACUCCACAUAGAAACCUGGUAUUGCAGUACCUGAGGAAAAGGUAUACCCCUU
Arvicanthis niloticus (Nile rat) is the source of this 183-nucleotide small nuclear RNA. RefSeq annotates it as U2 spliceosomal RNA. NCBI's taxonomy places the organism in Eukaryota, Metazoa, Chordata, Mammalia, Rodentia, Muridae. The record is from RefSeq and is a predicted model, not a curated record.